This is a long non-coding RNA of Strongylocentrotus purpuratus (purple sea urchin), 1582 nucleotides long. RefSeq lists it as uncharacterized. The transcript is spliced from 3 exons. Lineage: Eukaryota; Metazoa; Echinodermata; Echinoidea; Camarodonta; Strongylocentrotidae. The record is from RefSeq and is a predicted model, not a curated record.
AGUGUAGCGAAGUAGAGAUAUCUCCCUUUAAACCAGAUACCCCCCCCUCUCUCUCUCUCUCUCUCUCUCUCCUAUUUUCAUCAUCCUUUCUACUGGAGGUCAACAAACUAUAGUAGGAUGAAACCUGGUCAUUUCCACUUGUCCAAAUGUUCCAAGAAUAGGAUGUUUGUAGAUAAUGAGAAUGCCCCUUAUUUCAUUGGAGUUUAGGUCCAUUCACAUGAAGGAAAGGAUAGGAUUAAAUCUGUUCACAUAGAAUAGGUACAUGACCUAUAGUAGACAAAGCCCCUAUUCAACCAGUGUUGCCAAAACUUAAGACUUAGAUUUAUUUACCCCAGGAUUAGAAACACAGGGAGAGGAAGUUAAUGUUGACAAUCUUUGAUGAUAAGCAAACAUAUAAAUUGUCCUUCUGCCUCUGCGAAAACCAGUUUGGGCUGGAAGACAAAGCAUUUGUUUUCUUGGAAAAGGAGUUGGGUCAGCGCAGGAAGUACUAGCAGGGAUAUACCCCACUGUCCAAUGAGCCUUUGUCUUUUCUACUCCUUCCCCUUAUUUUUACUUUCGCCCAAUCAGAAUGUUAGGAUUAAUGGUCCAGGAACACUGUUUGAGUGUCCAUCAAGUGUUAUGCCCGCCCAGUCACCUACUGUAAUUAUAACGAAAUAGUGAAGUUUAGUGUAAGAAUAUUUUGUAGGAGGAGAUCUCAGAAUCGAGAUUGUGAAUAUGUAAUUAGGUAUAAAACCCCCAUCCCCUGCAUGAAAUCCUCACUUGGAACCCCCUCACUUAGAACGUCCCCACCCGGAACCUUUCUCCUCCUAACCCAUCUCUAACUCAUCAGUGCUCCAAGAUCAAAUAUAGAACAUACUUCAAGAUUUGGACUUUGGAGAAGUGAAGCAACAGUUUUGGUUGACCUUCUACGAUAUAUUCUAGCAAAAAGCAACAGUAUCAGGUUGAGAGAAUUUCAUGAUCGACAGAAAGCAGCAACAGUUAAAUUGAAACAAAGCUUUAACGUUUAAGCUAAAGGACUUUCACACAACCAUCAAAGUGUCCAAGUCAACUUCCAGUUUCGUCCAAGUCAAGUUCCCGUGUUGUCCAAGUCAACUUCCAGUUUCGUCCAAGUCAAGUUCCCGUUCCCGUACCCGCCAAGUCACCAAGUCACGUCCAGCUUCGUUCCUGUCAUAUCCUGUCCAGCUUUGUUCCCGCCAAGUCACCAAGUCACGUCCAGCUUCGUUCCUGUCAUAUCCUGUCCAGCUUUGUUCCCGCCAAGUCAAGUUCCUCCAAGUCAAGUUCCUCCAAGUCUCGUCCAAGUUCGUCCCAGUCGCAUCUCGUCCCAAGUCAAGUCCUCGAUCGAAAUAUCAGCGAGCUAAGUGGCCAUAAUUACUAACUUCAUUUCCAUUAACCUAUCCCUUCCCUUCCCCAUUAGACUGUAACAAAUUAAGUAAGAAUUAAGUCGCCCUUUAACUCUUAAGAAUACUUUGCAAUUAUAUUUAUUGCAACAUUUAUAUAUACAUUGUAUUAUUUCUAUUAUUCUGAUUUGAUGGAUGAGAUUUGUCAUUCAUAUUAAUUAAAUAAUUACCAAGUGACAUCGUAA